Molecule: unclassified non-coding RNA, 372 nt
Filed under: soil metagenome
Description: partial contains 5.8S ribosomal RNA, internal transcribed spacer 2, and large subunit ribosomal RNA
Rfam family: 5.8S ribosomal RNA (bases 1-120)
Source: RNAcentral
GAUGAAGAACGUAGCGAAAUGCGAUAAGUAAUGUGAAUUGCAGAAUUCAGUGAAUCAUCGAAUCUUUGAACGCACAUUGCGCCCGCCAGUAUUCUGGCGGGCAUGCCUGUUCGAGCGUCAUUUCAACCCUCAAGACCCCUUCGGGGGACUUGGUGUUGGGGACCGGCACAGGGGCCUGCCUGCUUGUCUUGCAGCGCCCUCGCCGCCCCCGAAAUGAAUUGGCGGCCUCGUCGCGGCCUCCCCUGCGUAGUAGCACAACCUCGCAACGGGAACGUGACGGCGGCUACUGCCGUAAAACGCCCAACUUUUAAGAGUUGACCUCGAAUCAGGUAGGAAUACCCGCUGAACUUAAGCAUAUCAAUAAGCGGAGGA